CGUACACUCCUGCGGGAGGCAGCAGUGGGGAAUAUUGCACAAUGGGCGCAAGCCUGAUGCAGCCAUGCCGCGUGUAUGAAGAAGGCCUUCGGGUUGUAAAGUACUUUCAGCGGGGAGGAAGGCAAUACGGUUAAUAACCGUGUUGAUUGACGUUACCCGCAGAAGAAGCACCGGCUAACUCCGUGCCAGCAGCCGCGGUAAUACGGAGGGUGCAAGCGUUAAUCGGAAUUACUGGGCGUAAAGCGCACGCAGGCGGUCUGUCAAGUCGGAUGUGAAAUCCCCGGGCUCAACCUGGGAACUGCAUUCGAAACUGGCAGGCUUGAGUCUUGUAGAGGGGGGUAGAAUUCCAGGUGUAGCGGUGAAAUGCGUAGAGAUCUGGAGGAAUACCGGUGGCGAAGGCGGCCCCCUGGACAAAAACUGACGCUCAGGUGCGAAAGCGGGGGGAGCAAACAGGAGUAGAAACCCUAGUAGUCCCA
RNAcentral lists this ribosomal RNA (476 nucleotides) under uncultured organism. RNAcentral describes it as "partial 16S ribosomal RNA". It matches the Rfam family "Bacterial small subunit ribosomal RNA", at positions 330 to 798 of the family's 1533-position model. The record is from RNAcentral.